Long non-coding RNA from Lagopus leucura (white-tailed ptarmigan), 258 nucleotides. RefSeq lists it as uncharacterized. The record is from RefSeq and is a predicted model, not a curated record. The transcript has 4 exons. Lineage: Eukaryota; Metazoa; Chordata; Aves; Galliformes; Phasianidae.
UGGGAGCUGUAGUUCCCGCCGCACCUCUAAAAAGGCUGGGCAUAGGCAGACGCUGUCCUGUGGGAUCAUUUGAUUGCUGCUUCUUCUCAAGGUCAUGUGGAGCUACUGCAUUGGGCAAAACAACUGCAGGAGAACUCGGAGUUCAGUCCGGAUGAAAUCCUGAAUCUGCCAGAAAAAGGAUACAGAUGAAGUAGGUGCCUCAAGCUGCAGGCCUGAGCACAGGGAGCUGACCGUGAAUCCAGACGACUUGAACUGGAG